GCCAGGCACGGUGGCAUGUGCCUGUAGUCCCAGCUACGCAGGAGGCUGAGGUAGGAGGAUCCCUUGAGCCCAGGAGUUCAAGGCUGCAGUGAACCAUGAUCAUGCCACUGCAGUCCAGCCUGGGCAACAGAGUGAGACCCUGUCUCAA
Molecule: unclassified non-coding RNA, 148 nt
Organism: Papio anubis (olive baboon)
Lineage: Eukaryota; Metazoa; Chordata; Mammalia; Primates; Cercopithecidae
Rfam family: Metazoan signal recognition particle RNA
About the family: The signal recognition particle (SRP) is a universally conserved ribonucleoprotein. It is involved in the co-translational targeting of proteins to membranes.
Source: Ensembl